This 659-nucleotide ribosomal RNA is filed under the name uncultured bacterium. Its description in RNAcentral is "bacterial SSU rRNA". It matches the Rfam family "Bacterial small subunit ribosomal RNA", at positions 61 to 700 of the family's 1533-position model. The record is from RNAcentral.
GUCGAGCGGAACGAGAUAUCUGAACCUUCGGGGAACGAUAUCGGCGUCGAGCGGCGGACGGGUGAGUAAUGCCUAGGAAAUUGCCCUGAUGUGGGGGAUAACCAUUGGAAACGAUGGCUAAUACCGCAUAAUCUCUUCGGAGCAAAGAGGGGGACCUUCGGGCCUCUCGCGUCAGGAUAUGCCUAGGUGGGAUUAGCUAGUUGGUGAGGUAAUGGCUCACCAAGGCGACGAUCCCUAGCUGGUCUGAGAGGAUGAUCAGCCACACUGGAACUGAGACACGGUCCAGACUCCUACGGGAGGCAGCAGUGGGGAAUAUUGCACAAUGGGCGCAAGCCUGAUGCAGCCAUGCCGCGUGUAUGAAGAAGGCCUUCGGGUUGUAAAGUACUUUCAGCAGUGAGGAAGGUUCAUACGUUAAUAGCGUAUGGAUUUGACGUUAGCUGCAGAAGAAGCACCGGCUAACUCCGUGCCAGCAGCCGCGGUAAUACGGAGGGUGCGAGCGUUAAUCGGAAUUACUGGGCGUAAAGCGCAUGCAGGUGGUUUGUUAAGUCAGAUGUGAAAGCCCGGGGCUCAACCUCGGAAUUGCAUUUGAAACUGGCAGACUAGAGUACUGUAGAGGGGGGUAGAAUUUCAGGUGUAGCGGUGAAAUGCGUAGAGAUCUG